This 221-nucleotide long non-coding RNA is filed under the name Elaeis guineensis (African oil palm). RNAcentral describes it as "long non-coding RNA (EGUI_LNC048921)". Lineage: Eukaryota; Viridiplantae; Streptophyta; Magnoliopsida; Arecales; Arecaceae. The record is from RNAcentral.
ACCCUAUAUCUGACCUAGAAACUAUCAAAUAAGGAUCAUAUGACAUGAAUAAAUACAACAUCUGAAUUUAAAUAAUUGAUCAUAUUAAUUUUGCAAUUAGAUCGAAUCUGAAACAAACAUUCUAAUCAAAAGCGGAUCCUAUCUACUGAGAUUAGAUUCCUUAUCAGAGUGUGGAUCGAUGAUCAUUGUUGCUGAUAGAUAUGAUAAAAGGUUCUUCCUGA